AGCACCUUUUGUUACAUUUUAAUAUUUUAUGAUGUAUUUAAAUGAGUAGUUAUUGUUGCAAACUCCAUUAGAAAUUUGAAUUGAGAUCAGUUUUGGAAAAAGGGAAAAGGGGAUGUGAAAAAAAAAAUGGGGGGGGGGGUGUUAAAUUUUUCUCAUUUCAGAUUUCAUAAAUAAAAAGAAAAUUUCUUCAAACAUUUUUUUGAGAGGAUUAAUAUUCAACAGCAUAGUGAAUUGCUCAAAGGAAAAAAAAGUAUUUUAAGUUCAUUAGACCACAUUCAUUCUGUGUCAGAAACCUAUGCUGUGUCAACUAUUUAAUCACAAUCCAAAUUUAGAGCUGAAUCCAGCUUGAAUGUUGUGUCCAUACUUGCCCCAAUCGUUCAGGGUUCAACCUCUGCGGUCGUAUAAAGCUGCGCCCUGCGGAGCAUCUGGUUAAAUCCUGUAGUUCUAAAUAUUCUAUACAUAAUUUGUUAAGGGGCCACCUGAAGGACGACUCCUGGUGAGGGAGUUUCUUGCUUUAUUGAAGACCAAUUGGUUUCCUUCGGCUGUUGUCUGCUUUCCUGGAGCAGGUAGUUAGAAGUCCUAUUUAAAUUACUUAUAGGAUAGAUGUUAGCAAUUUAGAAGCGAUAUUUAAGAGUGAGUUAAUGGUAGGAACCAUCAGGUUGUUUGCAUGCAGACUUAUUUGGGUAUUUCAGUAGGUUAAAGUCGGAG
This 708-nucleotide long non-coding RNA is filed under the name Mytilus galloprovincialis (Mediterranean mussel). The record is from RNAcentral. Lineage: Eukaryota; Metazoa; Mollusca; Bivalvia; Mytilida; Mytilidae.